This is a non-coding RNA of Trametes punicea, 101 nucleotides long. NCBI's taxonomy places the organism in Eukaryota, Fungi, Basidiomycota, Agaricomycetes, Polyporales, Polyporaceae. The record is from the annotation of a GenBank genome assembly.
CCUUCGAUAGCUCAGUUGGAAGAGCGUGAGACUGUAAUCGGUUUCUCUGCCCAACCCUGGUUGACAUCUCAAGGUCGCUGGUUCGAUCCCGGCUCGAAGGA